ACACCGGCAGCUCGAGUGGUAGCUGUUUUUAUUGGGCCUAAAGCGUUCGUAGCCGGUUUGAUAAGUCUUUGGUGAAAGCUUGUAGCUUAACUAUAAGAAUUGCUGGAGAUACUAUCAGACUUGAAGUCGGGAGAGGUUAGAGGUACUACCGGGGUAGGGGUGAAAUCCUAUAAUCCUGGGAGGACCACCUGUGGCGAAGGCGUCUAACUGGAACGAUCUUGACGGUGAGUAACGAAAGCCAGGGGCGCGAACCGGAUUAGAUACCCGGGUAGUCCUGGCCGUAAACGAUGUGGACUUGGUGUUGGGAUGGCUUCGAGCUGCCCCAGUGCCGAAGGGAAGCUGUUAAGUCCACCGCCUGGGAAGUACGGCCGCAAGGCUGAAACUUAAAUGAAUUGGCGGGG
RNAcentral lists this ribosomal RNA (401 nucleotides) under uncultured bacterium. Its description in RNAcentral is "partial 16S ribosomal RNA". It matches the Rfam family "Archaeal small subunit ribosomal RNA", at positions 473 to 873 of the family's 1478-position model. The record is from RNAcentral.